RNAcentral lists this transfer RNA (73 nucleotides) under Triticum aestivum (bread wheat). RNAcentral describes it as "tRNA_LysCTT". Lineage: Eukaryota; Viridiplantae; Streptophyta; Magnoliopsida; Poales; Poaceae. The record is from RNAcentral.
AACCCCAUCAUGGGGCUUGAACCCACGUCCACAAGGUUAAGAGCCUUGUGCUUUACCAACUGAGUAGUGGAGC